RNAcentral lists this microRNA precursor (105 nucleotides) under Bigelowiella natans CCMP2755. RNAcentral describes it as "miRNA EPrBNAG00000013604". The record is from RNAcentral. Lineage: Eukaryota; Cercozoa; Chlorarachniophyceae.
CAUUGACAACAAUGAUGAAGAUCAUGAUGAUAAUGACCUUCGUUUUUGGUAUUUGCUGUCGCAAUUACUUCCCCAUCAUCAUCAUCAUCAUCAUCAUCAUCAUCA